Molecule: ribosomal RNA, 494 nt
Filed under: uncultured bacterium
Lineage: Bacteria
Description: partial 16S ribosomal RNA
Rfam family: Bacterial small subunit ribosomal RNA
Source: RNAcentral
GACGAACGCUGGCGGCGUGCUUAACACAUGCAAGUCGAACGGUGAAGCGCCUUCCUUUUUGGUGGGUGUGGAUGAGUGGCGAACGGGUGAGUAACACGUGAGUAACCUGCCCCCUUCUUCUGGAUAACCGCAUGAAAGUGUGGCUAAUACGGGAUAUUCUGGGUCUGUCGCAUGAUGGGUCUGGGAAAGAUAUUGUUUCGGUGGGGGAUGGUCUCGCGGCCUAUCAGCUUGUUGGUGGGGUGAUGGCCUACCAAGGCGGUGACGGGUAGCCGGCCUGAGAGGGUGGACGGUCACACUGGGACUGAGACACGGCCCAGACUCCUACGGGAGGCAGCAGUGGGGAAUAUUGCACAAUGGGCGCAAGCCUGAUGCAGCGACGCCGCGUGAGGGAUGGAGGCCUUCGGGUUGUGAACCUCUUUCGCCAGUGAAGCAGGCCUGCCUCGUUUGUGGGUGGGUUGACGGUAGCUGGAUAAGAAGCGCCGGCUAACUACGUG